UCAUCUCACAUGUUAAAUUAUUGUCUAUCCACUUGGCUGAUAUACUUAUCAGCGCGGAGAGUGAAACUCCCUCUCGUCGCGGUUCUAACAGGUUCGCGCGGCAGCGUCCGGCAAACUUACUUUUCUCACUUUUAGAAUUUGUAGUGAAUUGCGAGAUGCCAAAUGGUCUACCGAACGCGAAAACUCCGAAUCCAAGAACAAAGAAUACUGAAUCCAAGAACAAAGAAAAAAGAGAAACACACCGUCGCUGGAUCGCUAGAUUAUUCGCAGUUUCUGGUGGAGUUACAAUUGGUAACGAUUGCUCAACUAUUGCGCGCUAAAUGUCAGGGACAUCCAAAUCGGAAUAUUUGAAUACGACGAUAUCCUUGAUUUAAGAACAUUAUUGGAGGAUUUUACUAUGACGUUGAUAUUUUUACGAUCCUAGGUAAAGAUCUUGAAAUCUCUCUUGCAUACGCUCUCGCGCGUGUAUGUGCCUAUUUGUUACGUGUGAUUCGAUGUACAAUGAAAAUCAACAAUAACGCGCGCUCAGGAACGAAGAAUGUGAGAGAAAAAGGGAGAGAAAAAAAGAAGUCGAGAUCAAGGAAUCUCGAUCGUUACAUGACAAUAUAGCCGUUCGGCACAUGAAAAAAAAGCCACGAUGAUUCUCAUACACGUGAUCGGCAACGCGGGAACCGCGCGACAAGAGAAACACUUCCUAUCCGUUUUUCGUUGUUUCGCGUUACAUCACGUGAGAAGUAGAGAAAAGAAACAAUAUUCGAAGUUUUCUACGAAUUACAAGACGAAAAUCAGAUCGAUAUCAUCGUCGUCGUCCUCGUCUGAAUUUAAAAAGAAAAAAUCCUUGCUUAUUUGCCGAGUAAAAACGAUGCGUGCGUAUAGCAGUUAACGUUGUUAGUACUUAUCAGUAUAUAGUACUUAAUUUCAUACCAAUAACAGGUAUUCAUUGAUAUAUGUAUUAUCUGGAUGCUUAAAAGAUAUUCUAAAUCAAAUAACAAUAAUUUAGUUCAACUAUCUAUUCAGUUAAGGACUAACAAGAAGAAAAACUUGAAAAAUGUUAAUAUAAUAGCGAAGGGUGAAACAUAUAAUAUACAAUCGGAAAGGUUGUCUUUUUGUGACUUUCAGAACGCAUCCGUCUUGCCCAAUGGAAAAAUUUUUUCAUUGACUAACAAAUUCUUCUAUUGGACAAAACGUUCCGAAAGUCACAGAAAAAAAUUGGACAACUUUACUGACGCCGAGUGCACAAUUUGAAAUUAAGAGCCCGUGAAAGCUGCGACUAGGAAACUCUAACGACACAAACACACACUAAUAUAAGUCACAUUAUUUCUAUAUCCUUUCCAUUAUUCGACGUUUUGUCCCAGGUGCGAUCCAGCCACCUCAGGUAUCCAUCCAGAUAAUAAACAUAACAUCCUAAAUUGCAUCACAGCCUGUCGAGAUAACGUUAAUAUUGCAAUACGCGCGCUUUUUAUUCGCUCGGAGGACGAUGGACGGCCGACUCGCGACGCGUUUCACGCUCAAAUUCGUUGAUCCCAAGAGAAAACGGAAGUGUCCGGGAGAUAGCUAUUUCUCUCUUUCUUUCUCUCCUUUCCUCUAUUUUUCUUCUCGCGAGUAUGACAUCUGUCAAGGUAAAUAGUUUUAACAACGGCGCAAGUCGGGUCGAGUUAGGUACGUCAGAAAUUAAGAUGCGCGAGAGAAAACGGACAUUUUCCCGCGCGCAGUCGACUGCAUCGUAUCGCGGCGACGUUGACGUCACAAUGAUGAUCCAUAUUUUUUCUCACAUUCUUUCUUUCGACUAUUUUUUUCCCCCGUUAAUAGUACGUAUAUAACUAUCGAUCUUAUUACUGUAUAACAAGAGCAUCCUUAGGAUCGUGCGACACUACCGUCGUAUUAAAAUAGAUUUAAAUCGCACUUUGUACAUCGUCAACAAGUUUGUCCAUGAACACAACUUCACAUUCCAUCUCUAACUAACGUCACCACGCCGAUAACACGCUUUACUAACGGCAGAUUAUGUCGAUUCAACACUGUAAUUAUUCAAUGUGCGACGGAUCCCACCAUGUGCACUGUCGAAAGGGUUCUUUCUCCAAGCGAAUUCUCACACACACGGUAGUACGCUCACUUAGUCUCUCGCAUUCUUCAAUACACACACGCUCUCUUCACUGUCAUUCCCUCUCUCUCUCUCUUUCACACAUCGAAGUACGCCAUAUCGUUAUCUUACAAUUUCGUUCACUAACGGAGCAAUCAGCAAAAAUUUAACUAUUUAGUAACUAGUAAAAUAAGUCUUUGGUGUUUGUA
Long non-coding RNA from Odontomachus brunneus, 2286 nucleotides. RefSeq lists it as uncharacterized. NCBI's taxonomy places the organism in Eukaryota, Metazoa, Arthropoda, Insecta, Hymenoptera, Formicidae. The transcript has 2 exons. The record is from RefSeq and is a predicted model, not a curated record.